This 482-nucleotide ribosomal RNA is filed under the name uncultured bacterium. RNAcentral describes it as "partial 16S ribosomal RNA". It matches the Rfam family "Bacterial small subunit ribosomal RNA", at positions 30 to 507 of the family's 1533-position model. The record is from RNAcentral.
AUUGAACGCUGGCGGCAUGCCUUACACAUGCAAGUCGAACGGUAACGGGCCUUCGGGUGCCGACGAGUGGCGAACGGGUGAGUAAUACAUCGGAACGUGCCCGAUCGUGGGGGAUAACGAGGCGAAAGCUUUGCUAAUACCGCAUACGAUCUACGGAUGAAAGCAGGGGACCGCAAGGCCUUGCGCUGCCGGAGCGGCCGAUGGCAGAUUAGGUAGUUGGUGGGAUAAAAGCUUACCAAGCCGACGAUCUGUAGCUGGUCUGAGAGGAUGAUCAGCCACACUGGGACUGAGACACGGCCCAGACUCCUACGGGAGGCAGCAGUGGGGAAUUUUGGACAAUGGGCGCAAGCCUGAUCCAGCCAUGCCGCGUGCAGGAUGAAGGCCUUCGGGUUGUAAACUGCUUUUGUACGGAACGAAAAGCCUUCUUUUAAUACAGGAGGGUCAUGACGGUACCGUAAGAAUAAGCACCGGCUAACUACGUG